AUUGAACGCUGGCGGAAUGCUUUACACAUGCAAGUCGAACGGUAGAGGGGGCAACCCCUUGAGAGUGGCGAACGGGUGAGUAAUAUAUCGGAACGUGCCCAGUCGUGGGGAUAACGUAGCGAAAGUUACGCUAAUACCGCAUACGAUCUAAGGAUGAAAGCGGGGGGACUCGCAAGAGCCUCGCGCGAUUGGAGCGGCCGAUAUCAGAUUAGGUAGUUGGUGAGGUAAAGGCUCACCAAGCCGACGAUCUGUAGCUGGUCUGAGAGGACGACCAGCCACACUGGGACUGAGACACGGCCCAGACUCCUACGGGAGGCAGCAGUGGGGAAUUUUGGACAAUGGGCGCAAGCCUGAUCCAGCAAUGCCGCGUGCAGGAUGAAGGCCUCGG
This 388-nucleotide ribosomal RNA is filed under the name uncultured bacterium. RNAcentral describes it as "bacterial SSU rRNA". It matches the Rfam family "Bacterial small subunit ribosomal RNA", at positions 30 to 420 of the family's 1533-position model. The record is from RNAcentral.